GAUGAAGAACGUAGCGAAAUGCGAUAAGUAAUGUGAAUUGCAGAAUUCAGUGAAUCAUCGAAUCUUUGAACGCAUCUUGCGCUCCUUGGUAUUCUGAGGAGCAUGCCUGUUUGAGUGUCACUAAAUUCUCAACUACACUGACUUUGAAUUGGUGUGGCUUGGAUUUGGGGGGAAAAUUGUUGUGGGCUUUUUGUAUAGUCUGCUCCCCUGAAAUUGAUUAGCGGUACCUUUGUGGAACUGUCUACAGGUGUGAUAAUUAUCUACAUCUUAGACAUCUGCUGGAAUGCUGCUUUCUAAACCUUACUUGUAUUGACAAUCUUGACCUCAAAUCAGGUAGGACUACCCGCUGAACUUAAGCAUAUCAAUAAGCGGAGGA
RNAcentral lists this unclassified non-coding RNA (376 nucleotides) under soil metagenome. Its description in RNAcentral is "partial contains 5.8S ribosomal RNA, internal transcribed spacer 2, and large subunit ribosomal RNA". The stretch from base 1 to 120 matches the Rfam family "5.8S ribosomal RNA", at positions 35 to 154 of the family's 154-position model. The record is from RNAcentral.